Molecule: long non-coding RNA, 965 nt
Organism: Nicotiana attenuata
Lineage: Eukaryota; Viridiplantae; Streptophyta; Magnoliopsida; Solanales; Solanaceae
Exons: 4
Source: RefSeq, a predicted model, not a curated record
AAAUGGAGGAAAAUUGCGGCGGGUUACAUAUGGCGGUUUGCCAAACCGCCAUAAUAUACCAUAUUGUGGGGCAGCUUUCAAUCCGCCAUGCCAGACAUUUGUAAAACGGCGAUUUAAAUGUAUUUUACGGCGCUUUGAACCGCCACUGCUUAUAUUUUAAUUUUUAACAUGUUUUCUGGUUUAUUUCAAAUAUGCUAGACAUCUAAUACUCACAAAUAAACGAAUCCUAGAUCUAUGUAUUCUGCCUCUCCUUCCCACGAAAUCUGGCUCAAAUCUGGAUCAUUGACGCGGUGACUCCCACUCCUCUCCUCUCCUUUUCUAAUCUCUGCUUUCCCUCUCCUCUUCUCGCCGGGCUCGCAAAUAGUUCGCUAACCUCCAUCGUGCCAGAAAAUGUUGCGAAUGCAGCUCGGGUACAGUGUACGCAUCAAGGUUACACAGUGUCUUGCGGAGGGUUCGCGAGUCUCAUUGUGUUUUCGCUCGAAGGAUAUUGGGUUGUAAGUUGUAACAAACUCUUUUUGAGGAGGCAAUGAAAUGUCUUUUGUCAGAAGUAGGAUGGAGUAAUGUCAAGGGGUUAAGCAUGAUUAGCCUUUGGAAUCCGUUAUAAGUGCGAUCUCAAUGAGACCCAGCUAUGGCUCAAAACUGAAAGUAUUCUUCCUGCUAUCCAAGGUACCUUUUUAGCUUCAAGUGUUAUGUGAAGAAUCAGAUCAACCUGAACACUUCUGAAGUUCAAUAAUGGACAAGUUGUUACAUGAAUGUUUUGCUGUGUUUCAUUUCAUUUUUGAUGUUCAGCAUAAGUAAUAUUAUUUGAACAAUAGUUUAGUCAUGUUAAUGGGACGUUUGGACUGUUGUAAUUGGACUGUCUAGAUUGCUUUUUUUUUUUAGUUGUAUUAAUGAGAUUGUCUAACACAGUUGUUUAGUAUAGCUGUAGUAUAAUUCAAUUUCAUUUGGAAUUUGAUGCCAUGUUA